Long non-coding RNA from Anopheles bellator, 445 nucleotides. RefSeq lists it as uncharacterized. NCBI's taxonomy places the organism in Eukaryota, Metazoa, Arthropoda, Insecta, Diptera, Culicidae. The transcript is spliced from 3 exons. The record is from RefSeq and is a predicted model, not a curated record.
GCGAGGCUUUAUUAGAAGAGAACAAAGUGCGGGCAAUGUUAAUUGUAAAAUCCUCGUGCUAAAGAAAAGUUUACUUGGCUAUUAUAAAGAUAGACAUAUUGGAAACGAAAUUAUCUUGUGAUGUGGGAGGUGAGUGUUCGACGAUGAAUGCAGCGUCCGGGAUACGAGUCUUUUCGGUGCCUUGAUGGGAAAUCGCAGAUUCCUUUAAGAUGUCUGAUACACAGCAGUGUCGGGAAGGAUUGCAAAAUGCCGGCAGCUUGAACCCACUGAAAGGAUCAACCCUUUGUGGUUUCUCCCGUCCGCGAUGCUGUUACGAACGCGUACACAAAGCAUCUUCGGUGGACGAAUGAAAACUGACCCCUAGUUCAGUCGUCAAAGAUCGGCGAAAACAGUGUUAGCUUACGCACGACAUCAAUGUUACAAUCUAAUAAAGGUUACCUAGAAC